UACGAAGGGGACUAGCGUUGUUCGGAAUUACUGGGCGUAAAGCGCACGUAGGCGGCUUUGUAAGUCAGGGGUGAAAUCCCGGGGCUCAACCUCGGAACUGCCUUUGAUACUGCAAGUCUCGAGUCCGAUAGAGGUGGGUGGAAUUCCUAGUGUAGAGGUGAAAUUCGUAGAUAUUAGGAAGAACACCGGUGGCGAGGGCGGCCCACUGGAUCGGUACUGACGCUGAGGUGCGAAAGCGUGGGGAGCAAACAGG
Molecule: ribosomal RNA, 253 nt
Filed under: uncultured bacterium
Lineage: Bacteria
Description: partial 16S ribosomal RNA
Rfam family: Bacterial small subunit ribosomal RNA
Source: RNAcentral